UACAGCCUUGCUGAAUUAUUCACCCUUGUCUUUUGCGUACUUCUUGUUUCCUUGGUGGGUUCGCCCACCACUAGGACAAACAUAAACCUUUUGUAAUUGCAAUCAGCGUCAGUAACAAAUUAAUAAUUACAACUUUCAACAACGGAUCUCUUGGUUCUGGCAUCGAUGAAGAACGCAGCGAAAUGCGAUAAGUAGUGUGAAUUGCAGAAUUCAGUGAAUCAUCGAAUCUUUGAACGCACAUUGCGCCCUUUGGUAUUCCAAAGGGCAUGCCUGUUCGAGCGUCAUUUGUACCCUCAAGCUUUGCUUGGUGUUGGGCGUCUUGUCUCUAGCUUUGCUGGAGACUCGCCUUAAAGUAAUUGGCAGCCGGCCUACUGGUUUCGGAGCGCAGCACAAGUCGCACUCUCUAUCAGCAAAGGUCUAGCAUCCAUUAAGCCUUUUUUUCAACUUUUGACCUCGGAUCAGGUAGGGAUACCCGCUGAACUUAAGCAUAUCAAA
Molecule: ribosomal RNA, 495 nt
Filed under: Alternaria tenuissima
Lineage: Eukaryota; Fungi; Ascomycota; Dothideomycetes; Pleosporales; Pleosporaceae
Description: eukaryotic LSU rRNA
Rfam family: 5.8S ribosomal RNA (bases 131-284)
Source: RNAcentral